UUGCUCUUCAACGAGGAAUGCCUAGUAGGCACGAGUCAUCAGCUCGUGCCGAUUACGUCCCUGCCCUUUGUACACACCGCCCGUCGCUACUACCGAUUGAAUGGCUCAGUGAGGCCUUCGGACUGGCUCAGGGAGGUUGGCAACGACCGCCCAGAGCCGGAAAGUUGGUCAAACUUGGUCAUUUAGAGGAAGUAAAAGUCGUAACAAGGUUUCCGUAGGUGAACCUGCGGAAGGAUCAUUACCGAGUGCGGGUUCCAACGAGCCCAACCUCCCACCCGUGUUUACCAUGACCGCGUUGCCUCGGCGGGCCCACUGGGGCCUGGCCCCGGUCGCCGGGGGGCUUCUGCCCCCGGGUCCGCGCCCGCCGAAGCGCCCUGGAACCCUGUCUGAAUAGUGAGUCUGAGUCUAUGAUUAAAUCAUUAAAACUUUCAACAACGGAUCUCUUGGUUCCGGCAUCGAUGAAGAACGCAGCGAAAUGCGAUAAGUAAUGUGAAUUGCAGAAUUCCGUGAAUCAUCGAAUCUUUGAACGCACAUUGCGCCCCCUGGCAUUCCGGGGGGCAUGCCUGUCCGAGCGUCAUUUCUGCCCUCCAGCCCGGCUGGGUGUUGGGUGUUGUCCCCCCGGGGACACGCCCCAAAGGCAGUGGCGGCGCCGCGUCGGGUCCUCGAGCGUAUGGGGCUUUGUCACCCGCUCGGGACGGACUCGUCGGCGCUGGUCUUCCUCCAGGCGACCCUUCGGGGCCCGUCUACCUUCGGUUGACCUCGGAUCAGGUAGGGUUACCCGCUGAACUUAAGCAUAUCAAUAAGCGGAGGA
Molecule: ribosomal RNA, 811 nt
Filed under: uncultured fungus
Lineage: Eukaryota; Fungi
Description: eukaryotic LSU rRNA
Rfam family: Eukaryotic small subunit ribosomal RNA (bases 1-241)
Source: RNAcentral